RNAcentral lists this long non-coding RNA (2247 nucleotides) under Strongylocentrotus purpuratus (purple sea urchin). RNAcentral describes it as "uncharacterized LOC115928687, transcript variant X2". The record is from RNAcentral. Lineage: Eukaryota; Metazoa; Echinodermata; Echinoidea; Camarodonta; Strongylocentrotidae.
UAAAUUUCACAGAGAGGACAUACAUGACAUAUUCAUAAUUUCUGCAAAGUUCUAAAGAAUUUGAGGUUGGCUGCAAAUUAAGGGACAUAGUAUAUCUUUAAGUAGUAGGGCAAUUUCACGGAAACGGAAUUACAAACUAGAGAUUUGUAGCUUGCUUUUUUAAAGUUUGUGUGCUUAUUUUGUACUCUGCUGCCUCUCUUCUCGCCAUCAUACUCUGCAAAUUAAAUAUGCCAAUUCUCUCACCUGAAUUCUUUCAUUGCAAAAAAUUUGUAAUUACCAUGGACAUUAAUCAUAUUGUUAAUAAUGUACCUCGAUCGACAUCUUGAAUUACCAGGGUAUGGUGCCACAUUCAAACCAAUAAAUAAGUCUUGUAAAAAAAAUGCAUUGUACCAAUAUUAAUUGUCAUGGUGGAAUUCUUUAUUGAUGAACCUUCUUUUAAUUCAAGGAGUUGGUUAUCUGAAUGAUCAGGAAUCUGAAUCUGAGUUAGGUGAUUGCUAGGUAGAGUUAGUUAGGUCAUUGUUAGGUGGAGUUAAUUGACUGUGAUUCAUAACUCUGAUGUAACUUCUCCAUGUAAUGAGAACAGUGUAGUUUGGUGUAGAUAAUAUAAAGUUGUAUCACACCCUGUAUAUAUGUAUUUCUUUUAACAUACAUGUGUAAAAGAAAAGGAAAAGAAUUCUGUAUGCACUUUAUCUGACACAUGUCAUAGAUGUCAUUACAAUGGUAUUUUGUAGUGGAUACUUACAACUUUGGUUUAACAGAUCACUAAUAUAAAACGUAUUGUGCCAGUUUUUUUUUCAUUUUACAUGAUGUAGAAAACAUGCCAUAUGCAAAAGUUAGAUUGCAUGUGUUUUCAUAAGUGUUUUGUAAGAGUGAAGUUGAUGGUUGCUAUGUUUUUGAAACUAAGUUUGUCUAGUGGGUUAAAGUAGAAGUGGUUUCAGGUGUAAACGCCAAAAUCUCAUUUUAAAAAGGGAGGAAUGUUAUAUAUGUGUCUGAAAAAAAAAAUGAAAGUAUGAGAUUGUUUAUUGUAUGUAUUGUUCAUCAUCAUCUCUAUUAUUUUUGUCAUACCUCACUCAAGAGGAGCUCGCUAAAGCUGUACAUUGGUCAAUACAGGUUUAAAGCCAAGCAAUUCCAAGUAUUUUAGGGGUUUAUCUGUACAGCAUUUAUCGCAGAACACUACAUAACAUCCAUUUCAACAAAUCGUCUCUAGUUUUUCCCCCUUUUUCAUCAUCUCUAUAAUUAAUCAUAAUAAUUAUAAAUAUCAGUUUCUUUUACUUUUUUCAUCAUUUAACGAUUAUUUUAAUGCUUCAUAGAGGAUUGGAGCCCGCUUUAGCUGUACGUAGAUCAAUACAGGUUUUAAGCCAGGCGAUUCAAAGUUUUUUAAGGGUUAUUCCAUUUAUCUCAGAACACUGUUAUAAGUUUCAUCAAAAUCGUCACCUCAUUUUCCUUUUUUCAUCAUUUUCUAUGAUUAUUUUAAUACUUCGCAGACUGAUUGGAGCCCGUCAUAAGAGUUUCGGAGCCCGCUUUAGCUGUACGUACAUCAAUGCAGGUUUAAAGCCUGCCGAUUCCAAGUAUUUUAGGGAUUGAAACUGCUGAAGAGCUGGAAGGAGUUAACUGACGAGUAGACAUUACAACAUUACUUAUAUUUGCAAGAUGAAGCUGAAAGUGCCAUGCAGGAUGAUGCUUCUCUACAGUGGAUGAUGAAUGCAUGCUGAUUACAAACCCAGGAGAGGAACAAAGAACAGAUAUUGACAGAAUCAUAUUUAGAGAUGCGGGCCUACCACACCUCGUACGAGCAAGUGUGCUAAUAUGCAAUACUUGGGUUAUCAUUACAGCCCUUUCUUCUGAAAACUAUGCUAUAACUGUAUUGAUGAAUGCAGGAGACAUCUACAUGGGACUACGUCUUAAAGAUGUCACCCUCAUAUAAUGAAAGAGGACAGUAGAGAUGGGUUUAAAUUUGAGUAUUUACAUGAUAUUUAUUUAUUAUUAGUAUUAUAUGUUUGUAGAAUACCACAUUCAAUAAAGCUAAUGAAUUUAUCAUCUUGUCAACUUUUAAAUAAUUACAGAUUAUUACAGAACAUUAAAAUUUUAACAAUGUCAAUUACCAUCUUAUAGGAGGACUGGGCAGAAAUUUUUUCCUUGAAAUUUGAGUGAUAAAGAUCUAAUUACUUGUAUGUUAAACGCUUAGAAACAUUGAAUUAAGCGCUUUAUAAAUGUAAUUUAUUAUUAUUAUUAUUAUUAUCAAUCUAU